UACAGAGGUCUCAAGCGUUGUUCGGAUUCAUUGGGCGUAAAGGGUGCGUAGGCGGCGCGGUAAGUCGGGUGUGAAAUCUCGGGGCUUAACUCCGAAACUGCAUUCGAUACUGCCGUGAUUGAGGACUGGAGAGGAGACUGGAAUUCCCGGUGUAGCGGUGAAAUGCGUAGAGAUCGGGAGGAAGGCCGGUGGCGAAGGCGGCGCUCUGGAACGUUUCUGACGCUGAGGCUCGAAAGCGUGGGGAGCAAACAGG
RNAcentral lists this ribosomal RNA (253 nucleotides) under uncultured prokaryote. Its description in RNAcentral is "partial 16S ribosomal RNA". It matches the Rfam family "Bacterial small subunit ribosomal RNA", at positions 524 to 776 of the family's 1533-position model. The record is from RNAcentral.